GGGUCAGUAGGUUGGUCGUGCCACCGGUACGUACUGGUCUCACUGAUUCCUCCUUCCUGAAGAACCGUAAUGCCAUUAAUCUGGUGUUGCGGGGAAACAGGACUGUUACUUUGAAAAAAUUAGAGUGUUUAAAGCAAGCUAACGCUCGAAUACAUUAGCAUGGAAUAAUGAAAUAGGACGAUCGAUCCUAUUUUGUUGGUUUCUAGGAUUGACGUA
RNAcentral lists this ribosomal RNA (216 nucleotides) under Glomeromycotina sp. Its description in RNAcentral is "partial small subunit ribosomal RNA". The stretch from base 44 to 216 matches the Rfam family "Eukaryotic small subunit ribosomal RNA", at positions 690 to 864 of the family's 1831-position model. Lineage: Eukaryota; Fungi; Glomeromycota. The record is from RNAcentral.